UUUUAGCCCUGAUGGGAACGGCAUCCUUUUAUGGUCUCUUUUUUGAGACCACAAAAGAUACAGUGUACAGCAGUAUUAGCU
Small RNA from Flavobacterium sp. FPG59, 81 nucleotides. It matches the Rfam family "Flavo-1 RNA". NCBI's taxonomy places the organism in Bacteria, Pseudomonadati, Bacteroidota, Flavobacteriia, Flavobacteriales, Flavobacteriaceae. The record is from Rfam.